UACGGGGGGGGCAAGCGUUGUUCGGAAUUACUGGGCGUAAAGGGCUCGUAGGUGGCCAACUAAGUCAGACGUGAAAUCCCUCAGCUUAACUGGGGAACUGCGUCUGAUACUGGAUGGCUUGGAUUUGGGAGAGGGAUGCGGAAUUCCAGGUGUAGCGGUGAAAUGCGUAGAUAUCUGGAGGAACACCGGUGGCGAAGGCGGGUCUCUGGGCCGAUACUGACGCUGAGGAGCGAAAGCGUGGGGAGCGAACAGG
This 253-nucleotide ribosomal RNA is filed under the name uncultured bacterium. Its description in RNAcentral is "partial 16S ribosomal RNA". It matches the Rfam family "Bacterial small subunit ribosomal RNA", at positions 524 to 776 of the family's 1533-position model. The record is from RNAcentral.